CCACACUGCUGAAGACUACUCAGUCAGCAAGACAUCAUGGAGAAUCCUCUCUUCAUAAGCUGGGCACGAAAGACGCUUCGCUUCACACACACGCGGGCACCUGCCUGAUAAAAGGGCGACCUCGGAACACUCGGCACUGCCCCUCUGGCCUGCACCUGCGCAGCUGUGAGUUGCCAGGAAGUGAGGCUCCCAGCCGAGCCCACGGUGGACCGGUGCACAAGGCAGCUGUGCAUGCGAACUGAGACUUCGGGCAGAGAGGCUGGAAACAGGGCUUGGACAGGCGUCAGCUUACGGUGGUGUUGAGAGCUGGGGUGCUGAGUGGGGAAUAGAAAAGAAUGCCCCAGCCACGCCACGAAAUGAAGCCAGGCUCCUGCCGUAUUUCCAAAACAGUCUGCGCAUUGUCUCCAAACGGACCUUGAUUAGGCGCGAGAGCGUGUCUGUGCCUCUGCUUGGGGUGUGUGUUUGCCAGUGGGGCACGGAGACGUGUGGCCCUCCAGGAGGGGCUGGCCUUCAAGACUGUGUGCUCUGCGGGUUGCCCUGACCAUCAGUCACGCCGGCGUCAACAGCACAGAUGGAGGAGCCGUCCCCGCCCGGUCUCAGGGCAGGCGACUGCACUUAGGAUUUUCAUUCACAUCAGAAGUGGGACUCAGAGAAGGAAGGGCCUUCUCAAAGACUGUAAGAACAAGGGACGUCAUCCAGAGUUUGCUACCAGAAGAGGCAACAAGGGAAAAUGAUGGUUCUGUGCU
Long non-coding RNA from Lemur catta (Ring-tailed lemur), 746 nucleotides. RefSeq lists it as uncharacterized. Lineage: Eukaryota; Metazoa; Chordata; Mammalia; Primates; Lemuridae. The transcript has 4 exons. The record is from RefSeq and is a predicted model, not a curated record.